This 482-nucleotide ribosomal RNA is filed under the name Escherichia coli. Its description in RNAcentral is "bacterial SSU rRNA". It matches the Rfam family "Bacterial small subunit ribosomal RNA", at positions 109 to 589 of the family's 1533-position model. The record is from RNAcentral. Lineage: Bacteria; Pseudomonadati; Pseudomonadota; Gammaproteobacteria; Enterobacterales; Enterobacteriaceae.
AGUAUGUCUGGGAACUGCCUGAUGGAGGGGGAUAACUACUGGAAACGGUAGCUAAUACCGCAUAACGUCGCAAGACCAAAGAGGGGGACCUUCGGGCCUCUUGCCAUCGGAUGUGCCCAGAUGGGAUUAGCUUGUUGGUGGGGUAACGGCUCACCWAGGCGACGAUCCCUAGCUGGUCUGAGAGGAUGACCAGCCACACUGGAACUGAGACACGGUCCAGACUCCUACGGGAGGCAGCAGUGGGGAAUAUUGCACAAUGGGCGCAAGCCUGAUGCAGCCAUGCCGCGUGUAUGAAGAAGGCCUUCGGGUUGUAAAGUACUUUCAGCGGGGAGGAAGGGAGUAAAGUUAAUACCUUUGCUCAUUGACGUUACCCGCAGAAGAAGCACCGGCUAACUCCGUGCCAGCAGCCGCGGUAAUACGGAGGGUGCAAGCGUUAAUCGGAAUUACUGGGCGUAAAGCGCACGCAGGCGGUUUGUUAAGUC